AUACGGAGGGGGCUAGCGUUGUUCGGAAUCACAGGGCGUAAAGCGCGCGUAGGCGGAUCAGUCAGUCAGGGGUGAAAUCCCGGGGCUUAACCCCGGAACUGCCUUUGAUACUGCUGGUCUUGAGUUCGAGAGAGGUGAGUGGAAUUCCUAGUGUAGAGGUGAAAUUCGUAGAUAUUAGGAAGAACACCAGUGGCGAAGGCGGCUCACUGGCUCGAUACUGACGCUGAGGUGCGAAAGCGUGGGGAGCAAACAGGAUUAGAAACCCCGGUAGUCC
RNAcentral lists this ribosomal RNA (274 nucleotides) under uncultured bacterium. RNAcentral's name for it is "partial 16S ribosomal RNA". It matches the Rfam family "Bacterial small subunit ribosomal RNA", at positions 523 to 796 of the family's 1533-position model. The record is from RNAcentral.